GAUGAACGCUGGCGGCGUGCCUAAUACAUGCAAGUCGAGCGAACAGAUGAGGAGCUUGCUCCUCUGACGUUAGCGGCGGACGGGUGAGUAACACGUGGAUAACCUACCUAUAAGACUGGGAUAACUUCGGGAAACCGGAGCUAAUACCGGAUAAUAUAUUGAACCGCAUGGUUCAAUAGUGAAAGACGGUUUUGCUGUCACUUAUAGAUGGAUCCGCGCCGCAUUAGCUAGUUGGUAAGGUAACGGCUUACCAAGGCAACGAUGCGUAGCCGACCUGAGAGGGUGAUCGGCCACACUGGAACUGAGACACGGUCCAGACUCCUACGGGAGGCAGCAGUAGGGAAUCUUCCGCAAUGGGCGAAAGCCUGACGGAGCAACGCCGCGUGAGUGAUGAAGGUCUUCGGAUCGUAAAACUAUGUUAUUAGGGAAGAACAAAUGUGUAAGUAACUAUGCACGUCUUGACGGUACCUAAUCAGAAAGCCACGGCUAACUACGU
RNAcentral lists this ribosomal RNA (496 nucleotides) under uncultured bacterium. RNAcentral describes it as "partial 16S ribosomal RNA". It matches the Rfam family "Bacterial small subunit ribosomal RNA", at positions 28 to 506 of the family's 1533-position model. The record is from RNAcentral.